Molecule: RNA transcript, 1303 nt
Organism: Microtus ochrogaster (prairie vole)
Lineage: Eukaryota; Metazoa; Chordata; Mammalia; Rodentia; Cricetidae
Gene: Mcrip1
Gene name: MAPK regulated corepressor interacting protein 1
Source: RefSeq, a predicted model, not a curated record
GCCUCCCGCGGGGAGACGACGCCCGCAGUCCCGGGGCAGCCUCCCUGCGGGCUCUUCCCGCUUCUGAGCCGCGCAGGCCCGGCUCUCCAACCCGCGCCCGUGUCUUUGCUCGUUACCUGCCCUGCCCACAUCGCUUUUGUGCAGAUGCAGUGGCUCUGCGCAAGUCCAGUCCACAAGGUGGACUGGAUGGAUGGUGGCCGGAAGUCCCGUGCCCCUGUUGACAAAGCAGUCCUGGUUCUGGGGCGAUCAACCCUCUGGAUGGCACCUUUCAGACAGAGGACAAGCUCAAGCAAAGGUCUCCAGCCGCAGGAUUCAGCAGCCAAGCACCAGGACCAGACACCCAGCGAUGACCAGCUCGCCUGUCUCCAGAGUUGUCUACAACGGCAAGAGGAACAGCAGUCCCCGCUCCCCCACCAACAGCAGCGAGAUCUUCACGCCGGCACACGAGGAGAAUGUGCGCUUCAUUUAUGAAGCCUGGCAGGGUGUUGAACGAGACCUGCGCAGCCAGCUGUCUGGUGGAGAGCGGGGCCUAGUGGAGGAGUAUGUGGAGAAGGUUCCCAACCCCAGCCUGAAGACCUUCAAGCCCAUUGACCUGAGUGACCUGAAGCGCAGGAACACGCAGGAUGCCAAGAAGUCCUAGAGUGCCUGGCGCCCCUCCCCUGGCCUCCGGAAGAUCAGGGUGCACUUGAUGGUCUCAAGUUGCCCUGUCACUGGGGGAACAGGGGUCUGGCUAUGUCAGCCCUUAUCCCUUUCCCCUGCCAGCUGCAUCUUGGGUAGCACCUGGCCCUGCCUACCCAGCCCUCUCUGCUGUUACCUGCCAUGCCUCGCGCCUCUCCUUCCUGGCCACCUAAGGUCAGAAAGGAAAAAAGGGACCUCUCUUCGGCUGUUGGGACCUCGAAUGACCGGAAAUCAGGACUGUGCAAUCCCACCUGCAUCCAGUGUGGCUCUCUCCGUGGAGCCUGGACGUUUGGGGAGCUCCCUCAUCCCACUGUCCAUCUCGCCCCUUUCUUGCCUCAGUUUCAGAGUGGAGUCAACUCUGAGCCGAGGACAGUGCUGGCUCCUGAAGGGGCCUCUGGCGACCAGACCCGGUCUCCUGGUACCUGUAGCCCUGUGGCCACAGCAGCGCCCGUGAGCAGGGGCACUGAGGCUGACCUUGAAGGAGUGGUGCUGCCAGGCCUGUCCUGGCUUUCUGGGGUGUACUGGGAGGAUCACCAAGGCCCCCUUUUUUGUGCCCUCUUGAAUCCAGGUGUCUGUGUUGGAGACAGAGACUGAGGGUCUGUGAAUAAAGGCUGGUGGCACUGGA